Molecule: ribosomal RNA, 520 nt
Filed under: Mecistogaster modesta
Lineage: Eukaryota; Metazoa; Arthropoda; Insecta; Odonata; Coenagrionidae
Also listed under: 1 other name
Description: SSU rRNA
Rfam family: Eukaryotic small subunit ribosomal RNA
Source: RNAcentral
UAGUGGGAGGUGUGUCUCGGACGGUCGGUUCGCCGCUUGUCGGUGCUCAACUGGCCGGUCCGGACGUCCUGCCGGUGGGGCCGCGAGGCUCCGUCAUCCUUCUUUGGUCCUCUUCACCGAGUGCCUUGGUGGGCCGGCACGUUUACUUUGAACAAAUUAGAGUGCUCAAAGCAGGCCGUUGGUCGCCUGAAUACUGUGUGCAUGGAAUAAUGGAAUAGGACCUCGGUUCCAUUUUGUUGGUUUUCAGAACUCGAGGUAAUGAUUAAUAGGGACGGACGGGGGCAUUCGUAUUGCGACGUUAGAGGUGAAAUUCUUGGAUCGUCGCAAGACGAACCGAUGCGAAAGCAUUUGCCAAGAACGUUUUCGUUGAUCAAGAACGAAAGUUAGAGGUUCGAAGGCGAUCAGAUACCGCCCUAGUUCUAACCAUAAACGAUGCCAGCUAGCCAUCCGCCGAAGUUCCUUCUAUGACUCGGCGGGCAGCUUCCGGGAAACCAAAGCUCUUGGGUUCCGGGGGAAGUAU